UACGUAGGUGGCAAGCGUUGUCCGGAUUUACUGGGCGUAAAGAGCGCGCAGGCGGUCGUUCAAGUCGCGUGUGAAAGCCCCCGGCUCAACUGGGGAGGGUCACGCGAUACUGAUCGACUCGAAGGCAGGAGAGGCGAGUGGAAUUCCCGGUGUAGCGGUGAAAUGCGCAGAUAUCGGGAGGAACACCUGCGGCGAAGGCGGGUUGCUGGGCUGAUACUGACGCUGAGGCGCGAAAGCUAGGGGAGCGAACGGG
This 253-nucleotide ribosomal RNA is filed under the name uncultured bacterium. RNAcentral describes it as "partial 16S ribosomal RNA". It matches the Rfam family "Bacterial small subunit ribosomal RNA", at positions 524 to 776 of the family's 1533-position model. The record is from RNAcentral.